This is a long non-coding RNA of Bufo gargarizans (Asiatic toad), 252 nucleotides long. RefSeq lists it as uncharacterized. The record is from RefSeq and is a predicted model, not a curated record. The transcript has 3 exons. NCBI's taxonomy places the organism in Eukaryota, Metazoa, Chordata, Amphibia, Anura, Bufonidae.
UGACGUCACAGACCUCCCUCUAACAACUCUACUCUAGCAUCGUACCGAGGUUCCUUAGGUGCAGGACUCUUCUUUUUAAAGAUGAUGGUCCUUUCCAUCAAGGACCCACCAAGGAUGGAGAAGGACAGAGACCACAUGGCUGCAAGGAUAUUAGACCUCACCCUGGAGAUCAUCUCCUUGAUAACUGGAGAGGAUUACACAGUAGUGAAGAAGUCGUCUGGUGAGUGUGUGACACCCCGUGUGUCAGGAGGA